This 1332-nucleotide ribosomal RNA is filed under the name uncultured bacterium. RNAcentral describes it as "bacterial SSU rRNA". It matches the Rfam family "Bacterial small subunit ribosomal RNA", at positions 28 to 1381 of the family's 1533-position model. The record is from RNAcentral.
AACGAACGCUGGCGGCGUGGAUAAGACAUGCAAGUCGAACGAGAGAAUUGCUAGCUUGCUAAUAAUUCUCUAGUGGCGCACGGGUGAGUAACACGUGAGUAACCUGCCCCCGAGAGCGGGAUAGCCCUGGGAAACUGGGAUUAAUACCGCAUAGUAUCGAAAGAUUAAAGCAGCAAUGCGCUUGGGGAUGGGCUCGCGGCCUAUUAGUUAGUUGGUGAGGUAACGGCUCACCAAGGCGAUGACGGGUAGCCGGUCUGAGAGGAUGUCCGGCCACACUGGAACUGAGACACGGUCCAGACACCUACGGGUGGCAGCAGUCGAGAAUCAUUCACAAUGGGGGAAACCCUGAUGGUGUGACGCCGCGUGGGGGAAUGAAGGUCUUCGGAUUGUAAACCCCUGUCAUGUGGGAGCAAAUUAAAAAGAUAGUACCACAAGAGGAAGAGACGGCUAACUCUGUGCCAGUAGCCGCGGUAAUACAGAGGUCUCAAGCGUUGUUCGGAAUCACUGGGCGUAAAGCGUGCGUAGGCUGUUUCGUAAGUCGUGUGUGAAAGGCGCGGGCUCAACCCGCGGACGGCACAUGAUACUGCGAGACUAGAGUAAUGGAGGGGGAACCGGAAUUCUCGGUGUAGCAGUGAAAUGCGUAGAUAUCGAGAGGAACACUUGUGGCGAAGGCGGGUUCCUGGACAUUAACUGACGCUGAGGCACGAAGGCCAGGGGAGCGAAAGGGAUUAGAUACCCCUGUAGUCCUGGCAGUAAACGGUGCACGCUUGGUGUGCGGGGAAUCGACCCCCUGCGUGCCGGAGCUAACGCGUUAAGCGUGCCGCCUGGGGAGUACGGUCGCAAGAUUAAAACUCAAAGAAAUUGACGGGGACCCGCACAAGCGGUGGAGUAUGUGGCUUAAUUCGAUGCAACGCGAAGAACCUUACCUGGGCUUGACAUGUAAUGAACAACAUGUGAAAGCAUGCGACUCUUCGGAGGCGUUACACAGGUGCUGCAUGGCCGUCGUCAGCUCGUGUCGUGAGAUGUUUGGUUAAGUCCAGCAACGAGCGCAACCCCUGUUGCCAGUUACCAGCACGUGAAGGUGGGGACUUUGGCGAGACUGCCCAGAUCAACUGGGAGGAAGGUGGGGACGACGUCAGGUCAGUAUGGCCCUUAUGCCCAGGGCUGCACACGUACUACAAUGCCCAGUACAGAGGGGGCCGAAGCCGCGAGGCGGAGGAAAUCCUGAAAACUGGGCCCAGUUCGGACUGUAGGCUGCAACCCGCCUACACGAAGCCGGAAUCGCUAGUAAUGGCGCAUCAGCUACGGCGCCGUGAAUACGUUCCCGGGUCU